ACGACCCAUAGUCUCUCUACUCCUACUCUGCAUAUGAAAUUCAAAACAAAGCAUCAAUCUACAUUAAGCUUGGGGGAAGGUUUCAAUGCAGGACCAUACAAAUUAGAAAUUACAAUACAAACGUCUCUGACUCGCAGUCUUGAGUUUAACAGUUAAAUGCCUCAGAUAUUUCAAUCCAAACUAUAAACUGAAAAGCGCAAACAGUUUUAGUUCCUCUCAAGAAUUGCCAUUGGAAGACUUUGUUGUAACAAGGAAAGCAUGGGUUCGAUUGAAAAGAAGGGGUUGCAGCAGUACUUGCUUCAGCAUCAUCGUCUCAGAACUAAGUGGGGUUUUGUCAGCGAUCAGUGACAUAGUGUCUCGGAAGCUCACCGGGAUUCAGAAACGUCAGUUAAGACGUCUGCUUCUCGAAGUGCUUUUUGGAGCUGUUUAUCUUGGACCAUUUGGGCAUUUCCUGCAUUUACUACUUGAUAAGAUUUUCAAGGGGAAGAAGGAUUCAAAAACAGUAGCCAAGAAGAUUAUAAUGUUAUUAGUCAAACAACUCUGAAAGUUUCGAAGAUAGUCAGCCUGAAAGAGGCAUGUUAGCAUGUGCACUUUGCUGCUUAUUGAGUGAAACACAGGAAGACCCUGGAUGCAUGUGAAGAAUAAAAUUAAGAAGUACUACCUGUCAGUGCAAUGCACAUCGUGGACGUCUGGCCUGUUCUGGGUUGGAUAAAUCACCAGUAUGUGCCACUCCAUCUCCGUGUCGUCUUCCACAGCUUGGUCGCUUUUGGCUGGGGAAUUUUCCUAAACUUACAAGCAAUAUAUGUGGCAUUACCAAAGGCUAAGUGAAGUGACAGAAAUCUUUCGACUGGACUCAGAUAAUUUGUGCUCCCUCCAAGUUACGUAAUAGUAGAUAUAUUAAGUCCUGGAUCCCCUUUUCAUGUAUGCUGGAUCUUGUGAACAGUAUUAUAAAUUUAAGCUAUGUUUAUUAUUUUUUUGGUAAG
Molecule: non-coding RNA, 983 nt
Organism: Prunus mume (Japanese apricot)
Lineage: Eukaryota; Viridiplantae; Streptophyta; Magnoliopsida; Rosales; Rosaceae
Source: RefSeq, a predicted model, not a curated record